This 435-nucleotide ribosomal RNA is filed under the name uncultured bacterium. RNAcentral describes it as "bacterial SSU rRNA". It matches the Rfam family "Bacterial small subunit ribosomal RNA", at positions 29 to 506 of the family's 1533-position model. The record is from RNAcentral.
ACGAACGCUGGCGGCACGCCUAACACAUGCAAGUCGAACGCAGGUGCUUGCACCUGAGUGGCGCACGGGUGAGUAACGCGUGGGUACCUACCCAGCAGUACGGAAUAACUGUGGGAAACUGCAGCUAAUACCGUAUACGCCCCGCAAGGGGGAAAGUUUUUUCGCUGUUGGAGGGGCCCGCGUCGGAUUAGGUAGUUGGUAGGGUAAUGGCCUACCAAGCCGACGAUCCGUAGCUGGUCUGAGAGGAUGGUCAGCCACACUGGGACUGAGACACGGCCCAGACUCCUACGGGAGGCAGCAGUGGGGAAUCUUGGACAAUGGGGGAAACCCUGAUCCAGCGAUGCCGCGUGAGUGAUGAAGGCCUUAGGGUUGUAAAGCUCUUUCGCCGGGGAAGAUAAUGACGGUACCCGGAGAAGAAGCCCCGGCUAACUCCGU